Long non-coding RNA from Oryzias latipes (Japanese medaka), 236 nucleotides. RefSeq lists it as uncharacterized. Lineage: Eukaryota; Metazoa; Chordata; Actinopteri; Beloniformes; Adrianichthyidae. The record is from RefSeq and is a predicted model, not a curated record.
AAGGAGAUCCAGACCCAUUAGCCAACGCCAGUUCGUUACCCUCUAUGGAUUCCAGCCUCCAAGAGUCCCCAGUGUGGAUGUCAGCUCGAGUUCUCCAGCAGUCCGGUGGAACCCUCAAGCUUUGCCAAGCCGCGCUUUUACCUCCAGCCACGCCACAAGCCGCUUUCCUCUCCAGCUGCCCACCAAGUCACACCAACUUUCCUGGAAGGAAAAUAAAACCCAUUUCUUACCUUUCA